This is a long non-coding RNA of Boleophthalmus pectinirostris (great blue-spotted mudskipper), 865 nucleotides long. RefSeq lists it as uncharacterized. The record is from RefSeq and is a predicted model, not a curated record. NCBI's taxonomy places the organism in Eukaryota, Metazoa, Chordata, Actinopteri, Gobiiformes, Gobiidae. The transcript has 5 exons.
UCCUGUCCGCCCCUUCUCAAAAUGAUGAUCUAUGGCUGUGGUGGAGGCUACACAUCAGUUUGCUCCGUCUUGGUGGUGACUGGUUUUCAUAGACACAGACAGAAUUUGCCACGAGCUACAAGAGAGGACAUCUCAUUCUUUUAUCCACGGCGAGUCAUUGUGGUGGUGUCAGCUGGUGCCGUCUCUUUUAUCACACACUGGAAGCUAAUGGAAGCAAGGAGGAGAAGUGCCAAAAGCGAUGCCCGGAUAUGAAUUACCUGCCUGGAUAACUCUGUCGCAUUGGCCCUGCGACCCUUUGCUGCCUCCUAACAUGACACAGGGGUUAAUUAGGUGUCCAUCUGCACUUGGCUCAGUGCAAGCAUUUCUACCGCCCAUACGGGUAAAGAGGCGAGCUGGGAGUGCACAGAGGAGAGCAGACGUGUUAAUGUGGCCUGUCAGUGUCAGACACGACAUGCAGAAGACAAACCCAGAGGUUGUGCUAGUUCUGAAACAUUGUUUGUUAAUAAAUGCUUUGAGGAGCAACUUGAUGAAGAGGCAAGCCUGAGGUAAGUGUAAUUUUGUGAGCUCUUGUUUUAGUAUACAAUAAUUAUACUGUUCAAUAAUACUCUACAUAAAUAAACCGUAAUAUAGAUGCUAUUAGAUUCGAUUCAGUAGAUAAAUUCGAUUUACAGUUUUCUGUCAUAUGUAACCACAGAAUGUAUUGGGGGUUGUGACAUUUUAUGGCAUUCUUCUCCUUGAGAGACAAUAUAUCACAGUCAAAUGUUAUGAUAUAAAACAAUUGGAUAUGAAUUACCUCUGGACCAGAAGAUAUAACUUCUUUCUCAUGACAAAUGCACUAUGAACAUGAUAAGCGUCAAACACUGCU